Long non-coding RNA from Tupaia belangeri chinensis (Chinese tree shrew), 361 nucleotides. RefSeq lists it as uncharacterized. Lineage: Eukaryota; Metazoa; Chordata; Mammalia; Scandentia; Tupaiidae. The transcript is spliced from 3 exons. The record is from RefSeq and is a predicted model, not a curated record.
UCGUUGUGCAGCGGGAUCCGCAGGUCGUGCCCGUCGUCCACAAGGUGCCACAAUUGUGAUCCUGACCUACAUAUUUUUGCCCCUUAAUCGAAGCUGACUCCACCCACUCCUAAACCAAGAGCAAGACACGUUUCCUACUGAAUCAUUUAUUUUGGUUUUAAAGGUAGGAGUGCCUGUUGCGUUCCACGCUUUCGUCAACAGCUUGCUGGUGUGGACAAAACCAGAGAAGGAGUGAGGACAGGCUGCAUGGGAAGCAUCAGCCAGCGUCCCUUCCUCUUUCUCCACGCCGCCCUAGCCCUGAAGGACGAGGAGCAAAUGCAAUGAAAGGUUAUGGCCACCGUCAGAGCUCUCCAGCUGCCUA